This 373-nucleotide ribosomal RNA is filed under the name uncultured organism. RNAcentral's name for it is "partial 16S ribosomal RNA". It matches the Rfam family "Bacterial small subunit ribosomal RNA", at positions 527 to 896 of the family's 1533-position model. The record is from RNAcentral.
GUAGGUGGCAAGCGUUGUCCGGAAUUAUUGGGCGUAAAGCGCGCGCAGGCGGUUCUUUAAGUCUGAUGUGAAAGCCCACGGCUCAACCGUGGAGGGUCAUUGGAAACUGGAGAACUUGAGUACAGAGGAGGAAAGCGGAAUUCCACGUGUAGCGGUGAAAUGCGUAGAGAUGUGGAGGAACACCAGUGGCGAAGGCGGCUUUCUGGUCUGUAACUGACGCUGAGGCGCGAAAGCGUGGGGAGCAAACAGGGAUUAGAUACCCUGGUAGUCCACGCCGUAAACGAUGAGUGCUAAGUGUUAGGGGGUUUCCCGCCCCUUAGUGCUGCAGCUAACGCAUUAAGCACUCCGCCUGGGGAGUACGGCCGCAAGGCUG